CCUACGGGAGGCAGCAGUCGGGAAUAUUGCGCAAUGGAGGAAACUCUGAUGCAGUGACGCCGCGUGUAGGAAGAAGUUUUUCGGCAUGUAAACUUUUGUCGUUAGGGAAGAGACAGGACAGUCCAUAAGGAGGAAGCUCCGGCUACCUACGGGCCCGCAGCCGCGGUAAUACGUAGGGAGCGAGCGUUAUCCGGAAUGAUUGGGUGUAAGGGGUGCGUAGACGGGAAAACAAGUUAGGUGUGAAAGCCCUCGGCUUAACUGAGGAACUGCCACUAAAACUGUUUUUCUGGAGUGCAGGAGAGGUAAGUGGAAUUCCUAGUGUAGCGGUGAAAUGCGUAGAUAUUAGGAGGAACACCAGUGGCGAAGGCGACUUACUGGACUGUAACUGACGUUGAGGCACGAAAGUGUGGGGAGCAAACAGGAUUAGAUACCCGUGUAGUC
RNAcentral lists this ribosomal RNA (441 nucleotides) under uncultured bacterium. RNAcentral describes it as "partial 16S ribosomal RNA". It matches the Rfam family "Bacterial small subunit ribosomal RNA", at positions 338 to 795 of the family's 1533-position model. The record is from RNAcentral.